CCACUCAUAGAUGUAGCAUACUUUAGCAAAAGUGUGGUGGGGCUUACGAAGAUGGUGUUUGUGAGGCAGAAAACAGUAACUUCAGCAUGAACCUUAGGCACUCAUGUUUCAAAAUGCCUUUGACCAUCCCCAACAAGUGUGUUUCUCCUGGUUCCUUGCUCCACUUAGUUGAGGUUUAUUUGUUCACAUUCUUCUCAUUUGCCUGCAGGCCUAGGAACUCCCCUGCUUGGAUCACCCCUUCAGAUUCUUUUCCCUCUUUUAGAUAGAGGCAUUCGGUACUCCUCAACUUCUGUUCCUGAUGGCUCCUCCCGGGAAAUUUCACCUAAACUCAACCUCAUGAGCUACAGAAGAAAUGGUCCUUUAAUUUAGUGCCUUCCAAUUUAGAAAGUGAGAGUGGCUGUACAUCCAAAGUGGAGGAAAUGUCUCUCUUCCUAUGGAUGCCCAGCCUCUGCCCUUGUCUUCUGGACCCCACCUCCUUUCUACCACACAAGUUGGCAUGAUGACAACGUAUUUGGCCCUGGCAAUAGAUUAUGGCUGGUACAAACCAGUUCUCAGGAUAUCUUACAACUAGAGGCAGCCUUAAGACCCUGUUUUGUCGAGAAUACCUACUUGGAAGUCUAGUCAAAAGGAUUCUUGGUUGAAAAUAGAAGAAAUAGACUUUGGAUAAAUUAAGUGUAAAGGAAAUGCGUUGGAAGUGUGAUAACUCACAGCAUCAGAUCAAACAUCAAACUGCCAAAGACAGAAAAUUAUUUACUGAUGUACAUUAUUUGACAAACUAUUCAAAGGAAUGACCCCACUAUUUAUGCAGUUUUAAGCAGAGAAGGAGAGUCUCCAGGAACUAUACGAAUUAAUCAACUUGAGCAAUCAGCCUGUUUUACAGCCUCCUGCCUUGGAGACUACUUUUUCCAAAACUCUAUGUGGGAUGUGGUCACCUAGUUGGUUGGAACCAGCUCCUGACAGACCCCAGCAACUGACAGAUGAACCUGAGUGAACUUUCCUCAUUAUCAUGCUAAAGUCUCCAUCCCGAAAGGAACUAUAGCUUCAUUACCAGAACAUGCAACCUUUGUGCUGGCAUAAAGGCUCACUGCGUCUAAAGCAACUGGGACCCGUCCCGUACAUGUGAUGAUGCACACUCUCCUCUCUCCAUAGCGCCAUAAACUCUCUCAGGGAGACACUGCUUUGAGGAAUGCUUCCUUACUUGUGCUAAGUAAUAAAACUCCUAUUGAUUAAAAUUUACAUUCUUGUGGAUUCGUUUGUUACUGGACAAGUGAGUGAAUUCAUUUUUUUUCAGGUUAGUCAUCAAAAUAAACUUUGUGGAUAUGAUUGUACAUUACUUAUUCUUUUAUUCUCAUACCUCCAUUUAUAUUCAUGUUCUGUUAAUUCUACAUUCCUAAAGAAUUAAACUUUCUCUUCCAAAAGAUCUAUUAUGGCCUUUAUACAAUGUCUUUAUAAUUUUCUAUGAGAACUAUUGAAGUAGCUGCCUAAUUAAUAUCUCCGUCUUAGGUUUGUAACCUUUUUGUUCAUUUUCUAGUCUUCUAUCAAAGUAAUCUUUCUCAAAUAUAAAUCUGGUCAUAUUUGUUCCAUGCUUACAUCUCUUUGAUUACUUCCCAUUAUCUACUAAAAAAUGUUCAAAUGUCUGGCUCGAGAAACAUGAUCUUCUUGAUGAUUUUGCUGGCUUUUUCAUCUUCAUUUUCUACUUGUGACCCCUUGAAUCCAACAAACCAGUUAUAAUAAAGCAUGCUUUUCUUCAUCAUUUGCUACCUUUUCAUGGAAUAUCUUAUCCUUUGCCCUCCAUUUCCCUUAUAUCUUCUCUUUGUAGAUCAAGUUCAAGCAAUAUGUUCUCUGUGAAGUUUUUCCUGACUAGUCCUAAUGCAACUACCUCUCAAAGUUAUGUUAAUAGCAGACCUUCCCUUUACAUAACUCCAUGCUAUACAGACCUCUCUUAUAUUACCUACAGUAUAUUUCCAUGUUUUUUUAUCUUGCUAGCCUGUAAGACCUCUAAGGCUAUUACUCAUUUUUGUAAUAUCAAAAGUACAAGUUAUAUAUGGUAUGUAAUGAGUGAUUAAAACAUUUGUUGAACGAUUUUACAUGUGUGUCUAAAAUGCAGCGUUGGUUCC
This 2117-nucleotide long non-coding RNA is filed under the name Homo sapiens (human). RNAcentral describes it as "HSALNT0163567". The record is from RNAcentral. Lineage: Eukaryota; Metazoa; Chordata; Mammalia; Primates; Hominidae.